AUGGCCCCCAAGGCGGAGAAGAAGCCGGUGGCGGAGAAGGCCGAGAAGACGACGACAGCGAAGAAGACCAAGGCCGAGAAGCGGCCGCCGGCUUCCAAGGAGGGCGGUGAGAAGAAGGGGAAGAAGAAGUCCAAGAAGAGCGUGGAGACGUACAAGAUCUACAUCUUCAAGGUGCUGAAGCAGGUGCACCCGGACAUCGGCAUCUCCUCCAAGGCCAUGUCCAUCAUGAACUCCUUCAUCAACGACAUCUUCGAGAAGCUCGCCGGCGAGUCCGCCAAGCUGGCGCGCUACAACAAGAAGCCCACCAUCACGUCCCGGGAGAUCCAGACCUCCGUCCGCCUCGUCCUCCCUGGCGAGCUCGCCAAGCACGCCGUCUCCGAGGGCACCAAGGCAGUCACCAAGUUCACCUCCUCCUAG
This 417-nucleotide ribosomal RNA is filed under the name Triticum aestivum (bread wheat). Its description in RNAcentral is "partial small subunit ribosomal RNA". The record is from RNAcentral. Lineage: Eukaryota; Viridiplantae; Streptophyta; Magnoliopsida; Poales; Poaceae.